This 851-nucleotide small RNA is filed under the name Arabidopsis thaliana (thale cress). RNAcentral's name for it is "ATSL193230". The record is from RNAcentral. Lineage: Eukaryota; Viridiplantae; Streptophyta; Magnoliopsida; Brassicales; Brassicaceae.
GAAGUAAACCAGAAAACUAGGAUCGAACCUCGCAAAUGGGAACAGACUUGAGAUAGUGAUAGAAUGGGAACCCUAAUACUCUGGAACACUAAAGAGGGGUGGGGAGAUGGGUUACUGGCGGCAUAUGUGGUGGGCCAUACAAAAUAAAAAAAAUUAGACAUGGCAAUAAGUAUAUGUAAAUCAUGUGUGUCCAAAUUAUCAUAUCCAAAGUUAUAUAUCUGCAUGGUAUAUACCAUAUAGACUUCUAGAACAUGUAUUGUUACAAGCAAUUCAUGUGGAACUCAUUUAUUGGGGAUUCGGUUCUAGAAUUUUGUUUUUGCUUUGGUAAACAUGUGAAGAGACUAGGUUAUACAUACAUAGACUGAACUCAUUAAACACCAACAACAAUGUUAGAUUGAUAAGACUUAGGAAAUAUAAAAAUGUAGAUGGAAUAGCAAACAAGAAUUUCACAUAACAAAGACAGAACAGUAGACGCAGAAAUGCAAAAGAUACAAGUUUUAGAAAAUAUAAACAUGUAGAUGGACAGAUAAUGAUGGACAACACAUUACGAACACCUUUUCUUUCAAUAUUUGGGACGAUUGGUUCCUUUGUGUGCUCGGGAUUUGCAACAAGAGCAACGUGGACUACUCUCUCGCGGACGUGGCUGAGCCCAGUAAGCCCCAUCGAUUUGUACCCAUCCUCUUUCUUCUCCAUAAGUCUCCAUCCAUAAACUAGCUCCAUCCAUGUGGAUUGUUGGCCUUAAGACACUUUGUAAAGAAAUGAUAAUAGAUGGAGUGCGACAUUGACCACCACAUAAAAUACCGAGAUCUGUCCAGGCAGACACAACUAAUUGAAUUGUUUUUGACAAAAAA